Molecule: ribosomal RNA, 425 nt
Filed under: uncultured bacterium
Lineage: Bacteria
Description: bacterial SSU rRNA
Rfam family: Bacterial small subunit ribosomal RNA
Source: RNAcentral
GAGAUGAGCAAGUCAAACACUGACGGAGAGUUUGAUCCUGGCUCAGGAUGAACGCUGGCGGCGUGCUUAACACAUGCAAGUCGAACGAUCGCAAGAUAGUGGCGCACGGGUGAGGAACACGUAGCUAACCUGCCUUUGGGUCUGGGAUAACGUCGCGAAAAGUGACGCUAAGACCGGAUAAGCUCCCGGGGUUGUAGAGACCAGAGAGAAAAGGGGCAAGACGCCCGAAGAGGGGGCUGCGGCGCAUCAGCUAGUUGGUGGGGUAAAGGCCUACCAAGGCAACGACGCGUAAGGGGUCUGAGAGGAUGAUCCCUCACACUGGGACUGAGACACGGCCCAGACUCCUACGGGAGGCAGCAGUGAGGAAUAUUGCACAAUGGGGGGGAACCCUGGAUGCAGCGACGCCGCGUGGGUGAUGACGGCCU